GGAGGUUCCAAUUCAAGGAAGUUGAGGGCUCAGAGGAAAUAAUCGAGGCUGACCUUGUCCUGCUAGCCAUGGGAUUCCUUGGCCCUGAGUCGGUUAGUAUUGUGACUAUCUCUUUAUAUUUUUAAAAAUCUGGUGCAAUUCAUUGUCCUUUAAUUAAGAUACAUUUAUGUUGUAUGGUUUGAGCACCAUCCCUCAUCGAUUCUUUUGCUCUUUGAUUUGAACAGACACUGGCAGAAAAAUUAGGUGUGGAGCAAGACAAUCGAUCAAACUUAAAGGCAGAGUAUGGCCGCUUCACGACCAAUGUGGAUGGAGUCUUUGCAGCUGGAGAUUGUCGACGCGGUCAGUCGUUAGUCGUGUGGGCAAUCUCAGAAGGAAGGCAAGCUGCUGCACAAGUCGACAAAUACCUGACUAAGGAAGAUAAGGACACAAGUGUAGAGGGUGAGAACCAAGAUUCCGUCAAGCGGCACCAAGACCUUCCCCAAAAGCAGCAAACUGUCAUGAAAUAGAUGAUCCAUCAGAUUGUUAUUGUUUGCGACAUUGAGCUGAAAUGGAACCCGAAUCCAAUACAUUCCGAAGGAAAUUGGUAUAUUUACAUGGAUGACCAGAGUGGGAAUUAAAGCAUGAAUCUUUUGUGGUUAAACCAGCAAGGGGGAUAUAUGCUUUAAUCUCCCAUUAAAGAACCUAUAAGCAAAAAUCAAUAAACAUUCAUGGGGCUGAGCUGAUAUUUAGU
Molecule: long non-coding RNA, 730 nt
Filed under: Gossypium barbadense (sea-island cotton)
Lineage: Eukaryota; Viridiplantae; Streptophyta; Magnoliopsida; Malvales; Malvaceae
Description: long non-coding RNA (GBAR_LNC012017)
Source: RNAcentral